UCCUCGAUAGUAUUGUGGUUAGUAUCCCCGCCUGUCACGCGGGAGACCGGGGUUCAAUUCCCCGUCGGGGAG
Molecule: non-coding RNA, 72 nt
Organism: Musca domestica (house fly)
Lineage: Eukaryota; Metazoa; Arthropoda; Insecta; Diptera; Muscidae
Source: Rfam